RNAcentral lists this unclassified non-coding RNA (235 nucleotides) under uncultured Rozellomycota. RNAcentral's name for it is "uncultured Cryptomycota sequence contains ITS1". The stretch from base 1 to 106 matches the Rfam family "5.8S ribosomal RNA", at positions 50 to 154 of the family's 154-position model. Lineage: Eukaryota; Fungi; Rozellomycota. The record is from RNAcentral.
GAAGUGCGAAAAGUAAUGCGAUUUGCAUAAUCUGUGAGUCAUUGAAUCUUUGAACGCAUAUGGCGCCCUGCAGACCUGUCUGUGGGGCAUGCCUGUUUGAGUGCCAUUUGAAACCCAUUUUGUUAGGCCAUCAUCAGUGAUUGCUUUGAAUCCCGCGGCGUGCCGUGUCAAGCGUUUUCGGCGCGCUAUUUCCAAUCGUGGCCUCAAAUCAGGCAAGACUACCCGCCGAACUUAA